This is a non-coding RNA of Myodes glareolus (Bank vole), 2677 nucleotides long. The record is from RefSeq and is a predicted model, not a curated record. Lineage: Eukaryota; Metazoa; Chordata; Mammalia; Rodentia; Cricetidae.
CUGAGUACAGAGAAGGGCACCUGGCACUGUAUGAGAGCGCGGGAGCCCCAGGCCCUUUCAGAUCAGGCCCCAGGACUGAAUCACUCACUGAGGGCAUCCCCAAGAGUAAGGCGAGGGCACCUCCGGCUUGAGCAGUCGGAGAGACCGUGUGUACCUCGGGCUCCUGCCCACUGCUCUGUGCAGGACAUGAUGAGGUGGAGUCGCUCUCUCCGGGGCUCAGCCCCUCUAGUGGGAGCAGACAGCAGAGAGGGCUCCCGAUAUGACUCAGUAAGAAAGCACCAGCCAGGGGAGAGGAGGGGCUGGCUGAUCCCUGGGGACUAAGUUCCAGUAAGACAGCCGUGAGACGUUCUGGCUAUGUGAUAGGUGGAGGACUUGAUUGACAACUGUCGGGCUUUCCCAAAGUCCAGCUGAAGCUACAGUUAACAAGGACAAACCAAGCACCAACCCAGAACUGCAGAGACAAAGCCUGAGUCAGGGUCCCCAGCUAUCGCCUCCACAGUUCCUGAGUCUGCAAUAUUGCCCCUGCGACUGAAGGGCUUGCGGCCAUUCCCACAGAGGCUGUGGGAGCUGCUAAUCCAGUAGCCUCAGUUAUUUAUCCAGCCUUUAUCAGGACAAUCAUAGACCCUCAUAGCCACCUGCAGGAGAUUAAAAUCUGGCCAAUGAUGCCGGGAGGAGACCUCAGUCAGUUGCUGAACUGACACAGCUGUCUUCACCACCACCCUGAGGCUGAGCUGUGUGGGAGCCUCUGCCUAGGCCACGGCAACUUCAGCUGAUGCUCAGAGGACGGUGUCCCCUGGAUCUUCCGAUGUCCCUGCCCACACGCGCUUCAGCCUUCAUGAUGACAAACUUAACUGAAUGAGGAAGACGUUGACAGCUAGUGCAAAGGACUGGCUGAGUGAAGGGGGCUCUGCUGGCAUUCUGGGAACUCUGCUGGCAUUCUGGGGGCUCCGCUGGCAUUUUGGGGGCUCGGCUAGCAUUCUGGGGGCUCCGAUGGCAUUCUGGGGGGCUUGGCUAGCAUUCUGGGGGCUCCGCUGGCAUUCUGGGGACUCUGCUGGCAUUCUGGGGUCUCCACUGGCAUUCUGGGACCCUCCUUGCUAUAAACUGUCUAUAUAUAUUUUUUUUUAAUCACAGAUGGAGUUUUAUCUAACUGUCUUUUGUCUUUUAUCACAGGUAGAGUAGACCAAGCUAGUUGCAUGCAGGGGCUGCUAAUCCCAGACACACAAGCCACCUAUAGUGGAGGACAAAAGAGUCCAGUGAACAACUGUGAGCAGAGACUUUGGGGAGCUGAAGCUGGGAAGGACUGCUGGGGUGCAGCAAAGGAGAGCGAUGCCAGUGAGUAGAGACUUCAGAAGAUAGAAGGCUGUAAAGGACCGAGACUGAAGUUGAGCGACUACUGAUGGCCAGCGGUGAGUGCAUCGCUCAGCCCUCAUCAGAGAAGCUUCGUGCAGUAGAUGGAAAUUAACACAGAGACCCACAGCUGGUCAAGAAGCAGAGAAUAAGAGGCUACAGAAUGCUCGACCCUAAGGGGACAUCUCUAUCACACAUCUCCCCUCCCAAGGCAUGGGGAUUAUUGUGGAAGAAGGGCCGGAAAGAGAGUAAGGUGGUGGAUGGACAUAAAGAAACGGUGUUUCCCCCACAGCAGGGCAUCAGCGCGUGUGAACUCACGGCAGUGUGGGCAAUGUGACGGUGUUGCCUAAGCUCAAGCCAGACCGAAUCCAGGAGCGGGAGGGAGGUAUGCACAAAAACUCACCCUUAGUGAAGGAACUGUUGGCUGCUGGGAGACAGGGAGUCGGUGUUCUUUAAGGGCGAGGCCCCCAGUUGGAUGACCAUAUUCCAUUGGAAGACACACAUCCAAGAGUCCAUGGCAGCACCAAACAUACUUGAAGGGUUAAAAAGAAAAAAAAAAAAAAGUCGGGUAGGGAAGUAGGGUAGAUGAGGAACAGUGGCAGAGGGUGACUAUGACCGAAACAGACUAUGAACUUCUAUGAACUAACAAAAAAGGAGAAAAGAGUUACGCCAUAUUGUGACUGCUAAAACUUUGUAUAAACCUCAUUUUGCAUAUCUAUCCAUUCAUGAGAAGACCACACACACAUCUUUGUCUGUUUUGGCUUAUUUUGAGACAGGGCUAAACAUAGUCCUGGUUAACCCGAGUUUAUUAUGUACACCAGGCUGGCCUUGAGUUUAACGUAAUCCUCCUGCCUCUGCCUCUUGCAUCCCGAGUGCUAGGAUUACAGCCUUGUACUACCACUUAUUUUUAAAUAUUAUCUUGUGAAAUGUGAUUGACAAUCAAAUGCACUUUGUGCUAUGUGCUGGGGAUGAGGACCAGUGUGCACGAAGCCCCGAGUCCAACCCGCAGCAUUGCACAAGCCAAGCAUCCUGGCUAUCCUAGCACUCAGGAGAAAGAGGCUGGAGGAUCAGGAGUUCAGGAACAUCCUUGGCCACAAAUUCAAAGCCAGCCUGGGCUAUAGGAGUCGCUUUCUCCAAAAAGAAAAACCUCAUUUAUAAAAGGAAAUGGAACAACUUGUUAAAAAGGUGAUAUAAAGAGCAAAAAGUUUUAAUCAGCCUCUUUGGGGGGGGCUAAAAAAAGGCCGCAAUGAAACACCAAAAUUGACGUUUCAAAGUAAUCUCAGUUCAAAAAGAAUAUUUUUUUUCAUGCAUGGUGGGAAUAUAAAUCAGU